Molecule: ribosomal RNA, 1135 nt
Filed under: Acinetobacter baumannii
Lineage: Bacteria; Pseudomonadati; Pseudomonadota; Gammaproteobacteria; Moraxellales; Moraxellaceae
Description: bacterial SSU rRNA
Rfam family: Bacterial small subunit ribosomal RNA
Source: RNAcentral
UAACUGAAGAGUUUGAUCAUGGCUCAGAUUGAACGCUGGCGGCAGGCUUAACACAUGCAAGUCGAGCGGGGGAAGGUAGCUUGCUACUGGACCUAGCGGCGGACGGGUGAGUAAUGCUUAGGAAUCUGCCUAUUAGUGGGGGACAACAUCUCGAAAGGGAUGCUAAUACCGCAUACGUCCUACGGGAGAAAGCAGGGGAUCUUCGGACCUUGCGCUAAUAGAUGAGCCUAAGUCGGAUUAGCUAGUUGGUGGGGUAAAGGCCUACCAAGGCGACGAUCUGUAGCGGGUCUGAGAGGAUGAUCCGCCACACUGGGACUGAGACACGGCCCAGACUCCUACGGGAGGCAGCAGUGGGGAAUAUUGGACAAUGGGGGGAACCCUGAUCCAGCCAUGCCGCGUGUGUGAAGAAGGCCUUAUGGUUGUAAAGCACUUUAAGCGAGGAGGAGGCUACUUUAGUUAAUACCUAGAGAUAGUGGACGUUACUCGCAGAAUAAGCACCGGCUAACUCUGUGCCAGCAGCCGCGGUAAUACAGAGGGUGCGAGCGUUAAUCGGAUUUACUGGGCGUAAAGCGUGCGUAGGCGGCUUAUUAAGUCGGAUGUGAAAUCCCCGAGCUUAACUUGGGAAUUGCAUUCGAUACUGGUGAGCUAGAGUAUGGGAGAGGAUGGUAGAAUUCCAGGUGUAGCGGUGAAAUGCGUAGAGAUCUGGAGGAAUACCGAUGGCGAAGGCAGCCAUCUGGCCUAAUACUGACGCUGAGGUACGAAAGCAUGGGGAGCAAACAGGAUUAGAUACCCUGGUAGUCCAUGCCGUAAACGAUGUCUACUAGCCGUUGGGGCCUUUGAGGCUUUAGUGGCGCAGCUAACGCGAUAAGUAGACCGCCUGGGGAGUACGGUCGCAAGACUAAAACUCAAAUGAAUUGACGGGGGCCCGCACAAGCGGUGGAGCAUGUGGUUUAAUUCGAUGCAACGCGAAGAACCUUACCUGGCCUUGACAUACUAGAAACUUUCCAGAGAUGGAUUGGUGCCUUCGGGAAUCUAGAUACAGGUGCUGCAUGGCUGUCGUCAGCUCGUGUCGUGAGAUGUUGGGUUAAGUCCCGCAACGAGCGCAACCCUUUUCCUUACUUGCCAGCAUUUCGGA